CAACGUUUAAGAAACAUUUCGACAGGUGCAUGGAAAGGACCGAUUCGGAUGGAUAUGGGCGAAACACGAGCAGGGGCGACUAGUGCGGAUG
Amblyraja radiata (thorny skate) is the source of this 91-nucleotide long non-coding RNA. RefSeq lists it as uncharacterized. The record is from RefSeq and is a predicted model, not a curated record. Lineage: Eukaryota; Metazoa; Chordata; Chondrichthyes; Rajiformes; Rajidae. The transcript is spliced from 3 exons.